Molecule: ribosomal RNA, 253 nt
Filed under: uncultured bacterium
Lineage: Bacteria
Description: partial 16S ribosomal RNA
Rfam family: Bacterial small subunit ribosomal RNA
Source: RNAcentral
UACGGAGGGGGCUAGCGUUGUUCGGAAUUACUGGGCGUAAAGCGCACGUAGGCGGACUGUUAAGUCGGGGGUGAAAUCCUGGGGCUCAACCUUGGAAUUGCCUUUGAUACUGAGGGCCUUGAGACCGGAAGAGGUCGGCGGAACUGCGAGUGUAGAGGUGAAAUUCGUAGAUAUUCGCAAGAACACCAGUGGCGAAGGCGGCCGACUGGUCCGGUUCUGACGCUGAGGCGCGAAAGCGUGGGGAGCAAACAGG